UGAUUGUGAGCAAUGAUUGAUUUGUUGGAAUGACAUGUAAUCGGCCGAGUCGAUUGAUCGCUGAGACGAUCCAAGUGGUUGAAUUGUUUUGAUAAUGUGAUUGAGCCAUGGUUGUUUGGUUAUCAUAAUUGUACGUGGUUGAAUUAUAUAAAUUGCGCUAACCUACAGAUGAAGGCUGAGGCGAGGUAAGUCUUCUGUG
RNAcentral lists this long non-coding RNA (199 nucleotides) under Eucalyptus grandis. RNAcentral describes it as "long non-coding RNA (EGRA_LNC006840)". The record is from RNAcentral. Lineage: Eukaryota; Viridiplantae; Streptophyta; Magnoliopsida; Myrtales; Myrtaceae.